GGGAGGGAGGAAGGAAGAAAGAAAGGAGCGAGCAGUGGGCGCCCUCAGCAUCCCCUUUAGCCCCCUCCGCCUCAACCCCCCUCAGCCCCCGGCUGUGCUGCCAGCUGCUGCCUUCCCAGAGCGGGCCCCGCCGUGGCUGAGGUAACACCGCCAGCGCCGGAAGGUGGAGCUGAAACAGCGUUUAGAGCGGGUCAGCCCGGCGGAGGAGCGGGGGGAGAGGGAGGGAAGAGCGACGGCAACCCUCUGCCCGCCCUCCCCGGGGUUGUUGCCCGCGGCCUGCCGGUUACAGAUCGCGUGGAGAGAAGAGAUGCCUCCCGCUGAGGGAGCGCUGCCCAGCCGAGGGGUGCGGGAGCAGGAGCGGCCUAACCGCCCUUCCACCCGCGGGAGCUCUUUUUUUGUCAGCAUCACAAACCAGUGAGAGUUAGAGGAAUGGUGGGGAAGAAACUGAAGUAGUCCUGAGCUCUGUGUUUCCAAGGGAAGAUGUGUUUCCAUCUCUGACAUACGUCUGGUCAUAAAAUCAUGCUGAAGUUCAAAGCUAUGAAAUGAUUUAUUAUCAGAAAAAAAGCCAAAUAGGAACAAACUGAGGUAAUAGUUUUAAAAGUAUUAAAAGUUGGCAUUUCCUUGAAGCUAAGUUGAAGGAUUUGGACUGGUAUUUUUUAAAGUUCAUUUUAUAAAAUGAAUUGAUAAAGAAUAUCUUAGUUAAGAAUUUCUCGUGUAAAGACAUCAUAUUGUGUUGUAGAAGCUAGAAAAGCUUGUCAGCUUUGGAGACCAAAAAUGUAAGUUCAAUAUGCAUAGGAAAAGCUGCUGGUAAAGCUGAUGGAACUUGAAUAAAUGAUCAAAUCUCAAUA
Molecule: long non-coding RNA, 848 nt
Organism: Tyto alba (common barn owl)
Lineage: Eukaryota; Metazoa; Chordata; Aves; Strigiformes; Tytonidae
Exons: 2
Source: RefSeq, a predicted model, not a curated record